Long non-coding RNA from Monomorium pharaonis (pharaoh ant), 8170 nucleotides. RefSeq lists it as uncharacterized. Lineage: Eukaryota; Metazoa; Arthropoda; Insecta; Hymenoptera; Formicidae. The record is from RefSeq and is a predicted model, not a curated record. The transcript has 3 exons.
CGUGUCACAAAAUAUAUUAAAACGUAUUAUUAAUGAUAAUUAUUGUCGGAACAACAUGCAGAGGUAAUUUAAACGUUUCGUGAUUUCAAAAUAAUUGAUUAAUUACAAGCCAUUUAUGUGGCGUUAUAUAAAAGCACUAUAGACUUUCACGGUAUUACAAUAAAGAUUAAUAUCUGCGAAGUUUCGCGUAUCUUCCAUGUAAUUUUCACACGUAAGAAAAUGGUGGCUUACAUCACCGACGCACGCACGUCGAGUAAUGUUAAUACGCAAAAGUGUGAUUAUAAGAGAGAGAGAGAGAGAGAGAGACAAGGAGAAAGGAGUGAGAGAUGGAUUUUCCACCUGCAAAAGAAUAAUAUACCGGACAAUGUAAAUUACACCGCGGUAACAAAAAUGCAGGCAACGAUGGAGCGAUUAAGCAAUUUUAGCGGGCGGUAACCCCGCGAGGCACGGAACAAUCACUAUAAGAACGUGACACAGCUGUCACUCGAAUCAUUUACAUACUUUUACAUACGUUAUGAGAAUGCCAGACGCAUUACUGCAACUUGCUUCUUUGUAGCACAAGCAGAGUGACUGCAUUGUUAUCGUCAUCGCCAUGCAUUAUUUUCGCGUCACUCUUUUCGUUCGUCAAGCAUAAAAUACACGUUAUGUAAAGCAACAUGAACAAAUUCGCAGCACUUCUGCUUUCUACCUGAGCAUUUCUUUAUAAUCGAUCAUACAACUUAAUAAAAUUAAUUUUAAACAAAUUAAUGCAUCGUCGCAGCCCUUGAUUUCUAACCCCGUUACUAGCAACUCUGUCGCCAUCAAUUUUAUACUUUCGUCGUAAUAUCGUCAGAAUGAGAUAACAAGCAGACAUCGUUAAUAACCGAGUGGUAUAUCAUACCCAUAACGCGGUAUGAUAAUACGAUUUCGAACGAUAAUUCCGACAAGUUAGCCACACAAACUAAUUCUCAGGGUGACAUUAAUGACGUUUCGCGUUUAUCGUGCCAGUCGUUCACCUGGCUGAGUAUUCGUGCGUAUUAUUGCGUAUCGUACUUAGGCAGCUCGGCGUAAUUGUAAUCACGCUAAUGCAUCUUGUUGUGGCACGUCCCGACGCGAUGCAUUGCGUUGCAACCAUAUCGUCUACGGUACGUGCGCUGGAUGACAACGAGACGCUUUCGAGAUCGUUUCACGCGAUAAUGAUAGCGUGCUGCACAUGCACCCAGACAAUAGAUGGAUGUGCAAGAGUGAUCAAUAGGUCAAUACAAGAGAAAAUUAGCCACUCGCCCGUUCCUCUUUUUUUUCCCCCCAGUGUUUAGCGGUGCGUUUUACAUUGGAAUUAUUUCCUUGGACACAUCUAAUAUAUGCGCAUAAUUUAAGACCGUUAUUAAUGUACGUACUGAAAGUAAUACUAAUGUAUGACAUACUCUUUUUUUUUUUCUUCUUAUUUUGAUUAAUCUUAUCUCUCCGCCUAAGGCACAGCGUGUCACGCGAGCGCCGAACGCACGCGUACCAUUCGCAUAAUUUAAAAUUUAUCAUCUCCUAAUGCAAUAUCAAGAUUGAUUGUUUACAUUAUUUUGAGCGCGCGGACAAGCAUUUGCCUCGUAACAGAAAUGUUCUCUUUAUGUCGCCAUUAUCACAAUCAGCGACACAAAUGACGCAUCUUCCAUUACGCAUUUUCGCGCGGCAAAAAAAAGGAGGGGGGGAGAGGAGGGGUAGAAACUCUUUCUCGUGAAUGUGUGAACUCGCGCUCUGAUUAAACACGAUUCGAUAAGUCCAUAACGUUGUGCUCCAAUCGGCAUAUUAUUGUACGUUACAUUUAAACGCAGCGAUCGGCGCAAGAUCUCGCGAUAGAACGUGUAAUUUUACUUUUAAUCAUUAUCGCGCGUAACGAGGCGCGUCAAGUUUAGGCGCAGCAAUAAUAGCGCAGCAAAAUAGAGAGCCGCGGUUCAAGCGGCGUACUUCGUAAUCAUCGUCAUCAUCCAGAGGGUGGAGGGGGGCCAGCUUAUUAUUAUCGUUAUCUUCGCGCUCGCCACGGAGCGCGGAUAGCCAGGAGGGGAAUUAAGGUAGAAAUAUACACACACGCUGCGACGGGCAAAAGUAAAAAGGCGCCUCGAAAUAUCAGGCGCGCGCGCGAGCUUUGAAACAACGUGUUACACAGGCGCCAUAAUCUUCUCACUGGCUUAUGUCUUAUUGUCUUUCAUCGAACAAAGGCAGAAAUUAAUAAUCACGGGACAGAACAAUGCACGUGACCCGUCGUGUGCAUCCGCGAUGCGUAACGAGACGCGCGGAGCUAAACCGGGAAUAACAACGCUGAAUCAGACAACGUUGUAUCAUCGCGCGCGCGCGCGUCGGCUUUAUUUCUUUUGUUAUCGUUACGAGACUUUUUCUUAUCGCUAACUUUUAUACGACUCGACUGAGAAACCCCGACAACGAAAGGUAUCCGAGGUUUGAUAAGAACGAUGGAAAAAAACGUGUCUUCAAUGUUAACUUUUCAUCUUAUGCAAUUUAAUUAGCCACCAAAAAUAUAAAUAGAAUUUUUUAUAAAGGAUGUUAACUGACAAGAGUUAUUAUUAUCCAUCAACGAGAUAUAUUCUACAGCGAGAUAUUUAUCGCUAAAACUAAGAUGAUCAUUCUAAUAUUUAAUUUGUUUCUCCGGUGUACAAAAAAAGGGGAAUGUUUAAAGAGUGACACGAUGCCUUUAGGAUGUCGCGCUGUACUGCGACAUUUAUGAAAUAACAACACCGAGAUAUACACGCGAUUAAAUACAAUCGCGAUCACCGCGCUUCUUCAUUGCCUUGCUCAUUAUCAUUAUCAUUCUCACGCCUACCUAGCGAUAACGGCGAAGCCCGAGGAAAGCUAAGAGCAGCCGCGAAUGAAGUCAUCUUCGCUGAUGCAUCGAUGGUUAUCCCGGCAGCGGCUUCCUUAAGCUUGACUCAAUCUGUUUAUCGUAUUACCUGGCGCACCCACACAUCGGGAGAAGGACUACGCUAGAAAAGCCGGACGGAAAAAAAAUGAGAUUCAACGACGCGUGAACAAAUUGCAUUGUUACCCCGAUAAGUCCACAAUCUCGAAUCGGAUCUAAAAUCGAGCACUACGAUAGAUCAAUCCAAUUGUUCGUACUUGGCAAACAAGCACCCGUUGCUCAUAUUUUAAAAGAGAAAGAGACUAAUCAUGUUGUCUUUAGAAACAUAUGUAAUUCGAAUUUUAACACAGAAAAGAAAAUAUAUCAACGUUAUGCUAGCGUAAAGUAUAUUUACAGACAAAUAAUCCACUCUCCCUUUCUCAAUGCCUAAAAAUAGAUAAACAAUAGAUUAAGUUAUUUUAGUAAAUGAUAAUUUCUUUAAAAUGUACAUUGUAUCUUCUUUGUACAUUGGGUAGAUUAUAAAAAUUUACGACCUACAGAGAAUAGACGUUGUGACAAAUAUAUUUAUGUUAUAAUGUAACAAACACUUGGAAAAUAUAUUACUUUUUAUUAAUAACUACUAAAUGUAUUAAUAAGAGAUGGAUCUAUCAUUUGGUUUUAACACAAAUUUCAGCCUUGUUAGGAACAAGGUUGAUACAAUACAUAAAUAGUCACCCGUACAAUGUUAUAUAAUUCUUCUAGCUAGCAAAACACCUUUCGAGAGAUAUUGGAGAAUGCUUAAGAAAUAUUGGAAAAGAAAGUUUGCCCUUUAAAACCGUUCGCAAAGAUGUUCAUUCUAUAAUAUUUAAGCCAGGCGGUUACAUUAACUGGAAAAAAAUGCUAAAGUUUUGAAGAAUAAAAGGCGAAACAAUAUGAGAAGCAAAUUUCUUCCCCCAACAUCUCUAAUUUAAUCAAUUGAAAGAUAUUCUUUUCUAAUGAAAUAGUACAACAUUUUCUAUCGAUGACUAAUCAAGCAUUGUGCGAAUUUAUUCUAACAAGAACAGAAUUUACAUUAAAGAUAAAUUAAUCUCUUGUUUUAACAAUCCUUCAUUUUAAUAAGGAAGAACAAUGUAUCUCCCUGAUGUCCACAUUAUUUCGUCCAUCCCCCUGUACAUGAUAAUAAACGCUUCUAAGAAUACGCGACAGGAAAAAAAGGUUGAUGUUAUAAAUGACGUCAAACAAGACAAUUAUAUUAACAGUCGCGUCUCGAAAGGUCUAAUAUGCAUAGGCGAAACUAUAUAUGCUCUUUGGUACCUAACAAAGAUCACAUCUGCCGAUCGCUAAUGUUAAGAGCAUGUCUCGCUGAAACUAGCAUAAUAUAUUACCGCUAAUAACAGCAUUUGCCGCGGCGAUUAUUAUUCAUAAAGCGCGAAACAUCAUUCGCGCUGUUUUUCGCCCACACGGCCGAUGAAUUUAUCACGGGAUAAGACGCACAUUCGUCUUAUCCGCGCCGUCCUACGUAACUGCGAGCACAGUAUAUCAGCGUCCUGAGGUAUCGACGUUUUUCCUUCCCGACGUCCAGGUCAAUGAUGCGCACGCAUUUUUAUCUCCUGCGGCUAGUUAUGGCCCCGGCCCGGUAUAAUAGCGGUUUUAACUACAUUCACAAAGUGGCGUAAUUUAUUGCGCCAUUAUACUCAGCUAAGGAGCUGCUUGUUGCGAACGACGACGGGCCGCGGUGAGGCGCGUGCACGCGGACGUGAUUUAAGAAAAGUAGGCGCGAUGGCUGACGAUUGUAUUCGCCAUCUACUACGAUUUUCUCCCACUACAACCGCUUUCUGUCCUCCUACUCUGAUGCCAGUUGAGCCACCUCUUCCUGAAAAAGUGUACCAUCACCGACCAUUGGGUGCAACUGAAAUCAAGGCUACCGAUUGGACGGCCUCUAACGCUCGCCUAGGAAUGCUGCGACCUCGUGCAACGAAUGCAACGCGCGACACACGUGUAGAGAUGCAGAUUAACGUAAUCUCCGUGAGCUGUACGUUAUCGGGUCGAGAUCGACGACGCCUUCGAAUUGCUCCACGCGAAGGAUUUAUGUUAAUUCUAAGUAACCUUCGCAGAAAUUAAUCGGUUUGCAUAACGCUUAAAGAUUCUUCCCCGGGCGAGAGGGAGCCUUCAAUGUUCCAGUCAAAGUUAUUCGAGAUAUGAGGAAGCAUUUGGAGCCUGAGCCGACGGGGGACGAUAGGAAUGAGCGGUUGAUGAAGAGAAAGGUGGAGGGCCGUUAAAGCUAUAUACGUAGGGAAAGAAAACGGGUAAGAGACAACCGCGAAAAAGACCGGCAAGUGGAAUGUCAGUUAAUUUGUAGCCAAGUCUAGUCCAUGCCAUAAUCUGCGCAUGUAUCAUACUCUUUUAUACGCGCCGAGACACACGUUGCCGAUCAGUAUGUCGCGUGCAAGUACACCAAUGUGCAUUACAAAACGCACAUUAUGAAUUACUAUCAUUAUUUAUUAUCAAAAACAAUUUUCACGUGAUAUAAAAAUUUUAUUAUAAAUAUUACAGUAUUUAGACUAGAUGCUACAAAUCAACAUGCUACAAAUUUGGUAGUAUAUUAUAUAUAUAUUUAUUUAUUUAUUGAUGUAAAGAAGCUGUUUUGAUAUAAAAUAAAAAUAUUAAUAAUGCGACGUUUGCGAUUAUCGUCCAAUCAUUGAUAGAUGAAAUAAAUGUCCACCAAGUACAAUGGACUAUUUGAUAAAGAGGAAAAGAAAUCGAUCAAUUGCAUUCCACUUAUGUGAGCAAGUCACUAAGCGAAAGCUGCACAAGCUUUUACCGGUAGCGUUCAGAACAUCGGUACACAAGUCGUGUCUUAGCUAUGGCAGGUAUUUACUACUGGACACCGAGAAUACUUUACUACGUUCGCGUUCUUCGUUGCAUCAACGCCGUUUUGUCCAGAAAAUCGCGGAAUGUAUGAGAUCUUUGAGACGUGAUGUGAGAACAGAAAGUGCUUGAAAAACAUUUGCUUGAUUACGUGAGUAAAUACGCAAAGAGAAAUAAUUACAUCAUAUGGUUGCCCAUGUUUUACACUCUAAAAAUUACAUACUUGUGUUUUCGCGCGAUUUUAAUAUCUUGAUGGAAGAAAAUAAAAAAUUUGCCAAAUGCGUAAAACAACGUGGGGUAUACAGACCGGACGGUACUCACAAUCCCGUAAUACUUUAUCGUUCAGAGAUAAAAACUACUCUACGUAAAACCGAACGCCCGGAGGGCUUCCUUCUUUUGCUCGACACUCUCGCAUAAGCAGGCGAUUCAAGUGCCGCUCCGUGCAGAAAGAGAGAAAGAGCUACGAAACGUGAAACAGAGCACAAAAAGAACAAUCCGCGAGGUGGAUGAGAAGAGCACAUAAGGAAGCCGAGUUUACGAGAUGAUUGUCCUACGGACCCUAUUCAUUCGACAUGGAAUCUCCAGGUGAAUCUCUAUUGUAGAUUAUUGCGCCAUUGUCCAUUGUCGCAAUCCGCCACAACUGGUCUCCUUAGAUCUCUUUGACAUAAGUAGAAAAAGUUUGACAAGGAUAAAAAAAACAGCGGUGUCAUUGAUGAAGACACUCAAAAUAAUUAAAAUUAUUUAAAAACCAAAGAAAAGUGCAGUCUGCAUUAAUUCAAUAUAUAAUCGGCAUUCUACCUUAGGUUCAAAUUAAUGUUUCUUUCCAUGAAUAAAAAUUUUUUUCAAACAAAAGUAUUAAACCAAAUCGAGCAAAACAAUAAAAUGCACAAAUUUCGAACGUUAACAUUUUUCAGAAUUAUAAUGAAUGUUCUUUUAUAUUGUAACCAAAAAUAUCAGAAAUACACUGAACCAAAACUAGACAUAUAUAUAUAUAAAUUCCAAAGAAAUAUUCAUUCUACUAAUAAAAAAUUUAUUAAAAUUGGUCCAAUGAAUUAUUUUAUUAACAUGAUGUUGUAACAAAGAAUAAUUCGUUAUAUUAAUAAAUUUAUUUAUGGUUAAAAGGUUCAAUAUAAUAUUUAUGCUAUUAAUAAAAAGUUUAUUAUCAAUGAAUUUUAGUCAAUAAACGUCAUACAUUGAUACUAUAAAGAAUAUUUUUUUCAGUGUACGUAAGUUAAUUUGUUGCUCGAUUCAACAUCUAGGCGAAAAGCCUUAAUCACGUCUCAAUUUCAAUUAUUUUCCAAUUUGAGAGCAAAAUCGACGGGGAUGUGAAAAUUAACGGCAAUUAACGGCAAUUCACGUGCCUCCCACGUUGGGCGGUCGGGCGAAAAAAGUGCAGGUUGCACGCGACACAAACGCGGGCAAUGGAAGUUUUACUUGUCCUGCGGGACAAACGUCGAUGGAAAUCGAAUGAUGCGGAACAGGCACCUGCGUGGGUACAUGCAAUUACGUAUGGAUAACUUCGGCGAAAAAGCAGCCGAUGCGAUCGCACACACCGACUCCGAUCUUAUCGACACGAUGUCGCGCGCAUUGCCGAAGGUUCUAGGCCCAGUAUGACGGUGCAAUUAUCAAUAAUUGAGAAAUUUUUUUUCAAGUGUAUUUCAAUAUAACGAGCCGACGCGCACAUUAAUUUGAUAUUAUAAGCACUGUCCCAAGAUUCCCGUUAUUACAUUGCCGUAAGACCAUUAACCUCUUUUCGCGAUACGCAAUUUAUGUUUUUCCCUCUCUUUUUUUUUUAAAUUAUACUCCGCAAAUUUCGAAGACAAGUGUAAUUCGGGCCAUAUGCGCGUUUCAAGAUGCCCACAGGUUUUUUGAACCGUGUAAAUCGUCAGAUGUGCAAUCUCACUUUAAUUACUCAUUUUAAUUAUUCAAAUUAAUUAAGCGAAGAUUAAUUGAUAUACAUAUUAUAUAUAAAAAGUAUUAACAGUAUACGUUUGUAACAUUAUCAAAUUAAAGUAAUUAUGCACAAAUAUUAAAAAACGUUAUAUAAUUGCUGAAAGUAAUGACAAAAUUUGCUUAUCAUUCCAAUUAAAUUUAAUAUUCAUAAAUUUUAAUAUAUACUCUUAAAAAUAAUUUAAAAUUAUAAAUAUAUAAGCAAAAGACAAUAUGUAUAUGUAACCUCGAUUUUUAAGUUUGUUUUUGAUACUUUGUUAUUAUUAUUGUUAUAUUUAUUAUAAAUACAUCAAUAAUUGUGUGUGAGUAUGUGUACAUGUAAUAAAAUUAUAUUAAUAUUUUUUAUAGUUAGAAAUUUUUAUUUUAACCUAAAAAGUAUUCUAAUAAUUUCUAAUAACUUGAAUAAUUUAUAAUAAUCUUAAUAGAAUAUUACUUAAUUCGGUUUUUCUAAAAGAAGAAAAAGAGUAAUAAUAAUAAACUUUACUUGAUUAGUUUGCUAAUACUCUUAUUGUUCUAAAAAAAAAAACCAAA